Molecule: ribosomal RNA, 253 nt
Filed under: uncultured bacterium
Lineage: Bacteria
Description: partial 16S ribosomal RNA
Rfam family: Bacterial small subunit ribosomal RNA
Source: RNAcentral
UACGUGGGGGGCAAGCGUUGUUCGGAAUUACUGGGCGUAAAGGGCUCGUAGGUGGCCAACUAAGUCAGACGUGAAAUCCCUCGGCUUAACCGGGGAACUGCGUCUGAUACUGGAUGGCUAGAGAUUGGGAGAGGGAUGCGGAAUUCCAGGUGUAGCGGUGAAAUGCGUAGAUAUCUGGAGGAACACCGGUGGCGAAGGCGGCAUCCUGGACCAACAUUGACGCUGAGGAGCGAAAGCCAGGGGAGCAAACGGG